This 395-nucleotide ribosomal RNA is filed under the name uncultured bacterium. Its description in RNAcentral is "bacterial SSU rRNA". It matches the Rfam family "Bacterial small subunit ribosomal RNA", at positions 407 to 793 of the family's 1533-position model. The record is from RNAcentral.
AAGAAGGACCUUCGGGUUGUAAAGUACUUUCAGCAGUGAGGAAGGUGGGUAUGUUAAUAGCAUAUUCAUUUGACGUUUAGCUGCAGAAGAAGCACCGGCUAACUCCGUGCCAGCAGCCGCGGUAAUACGGAGGGUGCGAGCGUUAAUCGGAAUUACUGGGCGUAAAGCGCAUGCAGGUGGUUUGUUAAGUCAGAUGUGAAAGCCCGGGGCUCAACCUCGGAAUUGCAUUUGAAACUGGCAAACUAGAGUACUGUAGAGGGGGUAGAAUUUCAGGUGUAGCGGUGAAAUGCGUAGAGAUCUGAAGGAAUACCGGUGGCGAAGGCGGCCCCCCUGGACAGAUACUGACACUCAGAUGCGAAAGCGUGGGGAGCAAACAGGAUUAGAUACCCUGGUAG